RNAcentral lists this ribosomal RNA (465 nucleotides) under uncultured bacterium. Its description in RNAcentral is "partial 16S ribosomal RNA". It matches the Rfam family "Bacterial small subunit ribosomal RNA", at positions 28 to 507 of the family's 1533-position model. The record is from RNAcentral.
GACGAACGCUGGCGGCGUGCUUAACACAUGCAAGUCGUACGGUAAGGCCCUUUCGGGGGUACACGAGUGGCGAACGGGUGAGUAACACGUGAGUAACCUGCCCACAACUUUGGGAUAACGCUAGGAAACUGGUGCUAAUACUGGAUAUGUGCUCCUGCUGCAUGGUGGGGGUUGGAAAGCUCCGGCGGCUGUGGAUGGACUCGCGGCCUAUCAGCUUGUUGGUGGGGUAGUGGCCUACCAAGGCGGCGGCGGGUAGCCGGCCUGAGAGGGUGACCGGCCACAUUGAGACUGAGAUGCGGCCCAGGCUCCGACGGGAGGCAGCAGUGGGGAAUAUUGCACAAUGGGCGCAGGCCUGAUGCAGCAACGCCGCGUGCGGGAUGACGGCCUUCGUGUUGUAAACCGCUUUCAGCAGGGACGAAGCUUUUUGUGACGGUACCUGCAGAAGAAGCACCGGCUAACUACGUG